Molecule: ribosomal RNA, 442 nt
Filed under: uncultured bacterium
Lineage: Bacteria
Description: partial 16S ribosomal RNA
Rfam family: Bacterial small subunit ribosomal RNA
Source: RNAcentral
CCUACGGGAGGCAGCAGUGGGGGAUAUUGCACAAUGGGGGAAACCCUGAUGCAGCGACGCCGCGUGGGCGAAGAAGUAUUUCGGUAUGUAAAGCCCUAUCAGCAGGGAAGAAAAAAUGACGGUACCUCAGUAAGAAGCACCGGCUAAAUACGUGCCAGCAGCCGCGGUAAUACGGAUGGUGCAAGCGUUAUCCGGAUUUACUGGGUGUAAAGGGAGCGCAGGCGGCACGGCAAGCCUGAUGUGAAAGCCGGCGGCCCCACCGCAGGACUGCAUUGGGAACUACCGGGCUGGAGUGCCGGAGAGGUAGGCGGAAUUCCUAGUGUAGCGGUGAAAUGCGUAGAUAUUAGGAGGAACACCAGUGGCGAAGGCGGCCUACUGGACGGUGACUGACGCUGAGGCUCGAAAGCGUGGGGAGCAAACAGGAUUAGAUACCCUUGUAGUC